CACACACAGACAGCUUUGCUGCUGCCAAACCACAACACAAAAUUGUUUUUUCUUUUUCUUUUUAUGAGAAGAAAUGUCGGAGCACGGCAGGUCUCGGUGUAAAAAGUUUUGUCAAUAAGAAGAAGAUGAAGACUGUGAUAUUCCCAACCUGCAGGUGGAAUAAUAUCCAAUAAUGCCGUGGUCUGACUGAGCUCCGAACUUGGUGUCACUAAAGUUCCUCAACAAGAUUCAGUGGAGGCCGCUGGAUAGGUUUCCGUUUAAUAUUGACUGUGACAUUUCAACCUUUUGUGAUGAAUUUUCCAGAUCAACAUCACUCGCCGUCUGUGUUUGUGUCCUCGUGGUGGGCUCAACGAGCGGACAGGAAGAAUUCAACACAGAGGAGGAAUAAUCUGUUUAGAAAUGGCGGAUGAGACGCUUCGGCCUUCAUCCCCUGUGUUUGCGCCCGUGUGCUCUGCGGAGGUGUCCGAGGCCUUGACGACAAUAUUACACGCUCGCCAGGUGCUCAACACUACAGCUGAAUAAAGCAUGAAAGGGAAUUUUGGACUGUCAGCAGUAACAAAGCCACAGAAACUCCCUGUUCACUCUCACUUCGAGCCGCUCAUCUUGCCUGUCGAGCAGGUAAAGAGAACAUGAGGAGAGGGACGUGCAUGUGAAAUCAGCUCUUUACCUGUAGAAGCAUCUGUGUGUCAGAGGAGCACAGCUCAGGUCUGUACAAUGCAGCUGUAAAAAAAUAGCACCGUUUUACUCUCAGGUUUAAUGCGGAAGCCGCUGCAUCUGAAACAAGCUCCAUUACACAAGGACGCAAUCAGCUCGAGAUGUGUCCAGCUUGAUGGGCCCCUGCAAUUAGGAUCCACUUUCACAGCUGAUCUUGUGUGUACAUGUUUGACCCGGUGUUGCUGUCUGACCACAGGAAAUGCCUGUGGUGCACCCUGCCGUGCGUAGCCACUCAUUUCAAAUCUAAAGUGAUUUCUUUUUCUUUUCUUCAUCUUCAAAGGUUUGUGAUAUGACAUUCAAAUUUGUCAGACACGUUUCACUGCACAUAAUAAAGAGCUUGC
Molecule: long non-coding RNA, 1055 nt
Organism: Gasterosteus aculeatus aculeatus (three-spined stickleback)
Lineage: Eukaryota; Metazoa; Chordata; Actinopteri; Perciformes; Gasterosteidae
Source: Ensembl